This 464-nucleotide ribosomal RNA is filed under the name Vreelandella stevensii. RNAcentral's name for it is "partial 16S ribosomal RNA". It matches the Rfam family "Bacterial small subunit ribosomal RNA", at positions 338 to 794 of the family's 1533-position model. The record is from RNAcentral. Lineage: Bacteria; Pseudomonadati; Pseudomonadota; Gammaproteobacteria; Oceanospirillales; Halomonadaceae.
CCUACGGGGGGCUGCAGUGGGGAAUAUUGGACAAUGGGCGAAAGCCUGAUCCAGCCAUGCCGCGUGUGUGAAGAAGGCCUUCGGGUUGUAAAGCACUUUCAGUGGGGAAGAAAGCCUUGGGGCUAAUACCCUCGAGGAAGGACAUCACCCACAGAAGAAGCACCGGCUAACUCCGUGCCAGCAGCCGCGGUAAUACGGAGGGUGCGAGCGUUAAUCGGAAUUACUGGGCGUAAAGCGCGCGUAGGCGGUCUGAUAAGCCGGUUGUGAAAGCCCCGGGCUCAACCUGGGAACGGCAUCCGGAACGGUCAGGCUAGAGUGCAGGAGAGGAAGGUAGAAUUCCCGGUGUAGCGGUGAAAUGCGUAGAGAUCGGGAGGAAUACCAGUGGCGAAGGCGGCAUUCUGGACUGACACUGACGCUGAGGUGCGAAAGCGUGGGUAGCAAACAGGAUUAGAUACCCUGGUAGU